CCGGGUAACGCUCCCAGAUCGCCGCCGCCUAGCCCUAAAAAAAAAAGGACCGCCGCCGCGUAGCCUUUCGCCGCCGGGUUCGACGAGGGAGCCGGGGCACGCAAGCCGGCCUAUACCCUAUAGAGAGACUGGUCCGGGGAUGUUCGGGGAUGCGGGCCAGCAGCGCGGCAACGUCGUGGGUGGUGGGGCGGACGCGCAUCUCCUCUACGACGACCCGCUGUCAUCGCGGCGCUCCUCGGCUCCCGCUUCGACGGCGAUUAGGUCGACGCUCAAGCGCCUCCUCGCCCUCAUCACGCAGGGCUUCUACGUCGCCCACCUCUCCCGGCAGGCGGUCAAGAACGUGCCGGCAUAGUCGCUCGAGGUGAAGAAGCACGUUUACCUCUACCUGCUCCGUUACGCCGCGAAUGUCUUGGGCUCUUCACAGGAUGAACCAUACGCAAGAAGACCUCUGGUUGGUCAACCAGCAUGAUAUCACUAACAAUAUUCCUUCCAUAAGAAGGAUGGAUGUUUUGCCAGUCGAUUACAUCUUCAAUUUGAGGCCAUGGUUCUUCCAUCCCACCCUUAUCUUCUCAAGGAAAUAUACAUCAGUAUUCUUCAUAUGGUGGUGGAUACGAGAGUGGUAGUACAACAAAAAAGAUUGAUAUCCCAAAUGGAAGGUUGGUGUUAUCAUUGGAAAUUCUAGAGAAACUAUAAAGCAUAUCCAACUUUAGUCAGGGGCAAAGAUCCAAGUAACGAGGGACAUGGAUGUUCAACCCGGGUCACAGACAAGAUUGGGUGAUCUUUCGGGCACUCCUGAGCUGUUGAUAAGUGAUGUUUUUGCAGAGGCUGAUGCUUACUCAUUUGGCACUAUCUCUAAUUGGAAGUACAAUGCACCUCAACCUAGUGUUGAGCAAUUCCAGAUGCAAAUUGCUAACAACAAGGUAAACUGGCUGCUUUCUUGACGAGAUAGUGAAAGAUGUUUGGUAGAUUAAGAAAAUUUAUGUCGAGUAAAUAAGCAUGGUGGUUCUUAUAUUGGUGGAUGAAUGGAUCUUUAAUAGACUUGAAGCAAUUUGGAUUUAGUUAGGUGAUUAUGAUCUUGAAACCAAAUUUCAUGGAGGAUUACGAGAUUUUGAUGCAUUUAUUUAGUUCAUUAUGAUCUUGAGGAGAUAGUCAAAGAUGUUCGGUGGAUUAAUUAAUCUUAGACAAUUUGGAUUUAGUUAGGUGAUUGUGAUAUUGAACCGUAUUUAUGAUGGAUUAUGAUAUCUUAGUUGGAUUUAGUUACGUGAUUUAAUCUUGAGAAGAUAGUAACAAAAUGUUCGGUGAAUUAUGAGAUUUUAGGUAUAGUAGAUGACCGUGGUGAUUAUUAUAUUGGUGGAUAAAUAGAUCUUUAAUUUUGUUUGGAACAUUUUGGAUU
This is a long non-coding RNA of Triticum dicoccoides, 1393 nucleotides long. RefSeq lists it as uncharacterized. The transcript has 6 exons. NCBI's taxonomy places the organism in Eukaryota, Viridiplantae, Streptophyta, Magnoliopsida, Poales, Poaceae. The record is from RefSeq and is a predicted model, not a curated record.